This 239-nucleotide unclassified non-coding RNA is filed under the name uncultured Debaryomyces. RNAcentral describes it as "sequence contains ITS1". The record is from RNAcentral. Lineage: Eukaryota; Fungi; Ascomycota; Saccharomycetes; Saccharomycetales; Saccharomycetaceae.
GAGAACCAAGAGAUCCGUUGUUGAAAGUUUUGAAGAUUUUUUGAAUUUAAUCAACAAAUUGACAAUUAAAUAAAUAACAAUUCAAUAUAAAUAUUGAAGUUUAGUUCAGUAAACCUCUGGCCCAAACUAUUUCUAGUCCAGACCAAAGCAAAAGUUCUUGUAAUAACAAAAAACACUGUGUGUAAGGUUUUUUCGCCGCGCAAUUAAGCGCUGGCAAAAAGAAUACUGUAAUGAUCCUU